This is a long non-coding RNA of Hordeum vulgare subsp. vulgare (domesticated barley), 163 nucleotides long. RefSeq lists it as uncharacterized. The record is from RefSeq and is a predicted model, not a curated record. The transcript has 3 exons. NCBI's taxonomy places the organism in Eukaryota, Viridiplantae, Streptophyta, Magnoliopsida, Poales, Poaceae.
GAAUGAACCAGAGUCAGACUUGAUGUUCUGGGAAGAAUUUUGCUAUUUCAUCUCUAAAAAGUCCGAAAGCGCAAUUCAUGAGUUAUCUGACUCGGUUUGGAUAUAGUUUUUGCACAGGUGAAGUACGAAGCCAAGUAUGAAGCUAUGAAGCGUAUGAACAAAG